This is a long non-coding RNA of Oncorhynchus tshawytscha (Chinook salmon), 2995 nucleotides long. The record is from Ensembl. Lineage: Eukaryota; Metazoa; Chordata; Actinopteri; Salmoniformes; Salmonidae.
UGGAAGAUGUCACUGCACACCGGCAGCCUAUUUCAGUCUGCAGCAAUGUGCUCCAGACGACAUCACCAGCGGGAAGCCCUCACCUCCUGGUAUGUGCCAAGCCUGAUGGGAGAAGACAACUGCUUGCGUGGGGGUGGAAGGGCCGGGACAGACGCUCUGCAGACAUGCUGAAGACAUGAAGGGACCUGAGCCCUAGGACCAUGCCCCAGGACUACCUGACAUGAUGACUCCUUGCUGUCCCCAGUCCACCUGGCCGUGCUGCUGCUCCAGUUUCAACUGUUCUGCCUUAUUAUUAUACGACCAUGCUGGUCAUUUAUGAACAUUUGAACAUCUUGGCCAUGUUCUGUUAUAAUCUCCACCCGGCACAGCCAGAAGAGGACUGGCCACCCCACAUAGCCUGGUUCCUCUCUAGGUUUCUUCCUAGGUGUAGGCCUUUCUAGGGAGUUUUUCCUAGCCACCGUGCUUCUACACCUGCAUUGCUUGCUGUUUGGGGUUUUAGGCUGGGUUUCUGUACAGCACUUUGAGAUAUCAGCUGAUGUACGAAGGGCUAUAUAAAUAAAUUUGAUUUGAUUUGAUUUAGGCCAAUUGUGCAUCGCCCCAUGGACCUCCCGGUCGGUUGCGACAGAGCGCGAACCCAGAGUCUCUGGUGACACAGCUAGCACUGCGAUGCAGUGCCCUAGACCACUCUGCCACCCGGGAGGCCCUUAAUCAACAUGUUUUGACCAUGAAUGUUCACAAUCCAGAGUUACUCCAAGCAGUUUAGUCAGAGCCACAGUUUCUGAUAUCAAAAAGAAUUUACAGCAAAAGCACCACAAACGAUUAUGUUAGCUCACCGCCAAGCCACAGAAAAACACAGACAUUUUUCCAGCCAAAGAGAGGAGUCACAAAAAGCAGAAAUAGAGAUACAAUUAAUCACUAACCUUUGAUGAUCUUCAUCAGAUGACACUCAUAGGACUUCAUGUUACACAAUACAUGUAUGUUUUGUUUGAUAAAGUUCAUAUUUAUAUCAUAAAAUCUGAGUUUACAUUGGCGCGUUACGUCCAGUAGUUCUAAAACAUGCGAUGAUAUUGCAGAGAGCCACAUCAAUUUACAGAAAUACUCAUAAUAAACAUUGAUAAAGAUACGACUAUUAUACAUGAAACUUUUGAUAAACUUCUCCUUAAUGCAACCGCUGUGACAGAUUUCAAAAAACUUUACAGAGAAAGCAAACCAUGCAAUAAUCUGAGUACAGCCUUUAGACAACAAAGCAGCCAAAAAGAUACCUGCCAUAUUGGGUAGUCAACAUUACUCAGAAAUAGCAUUUUAAAUAUUCACUUACCUUUGAUGAUCUUCAUCAGAAUGCACCCCCAGGAAUCCCAGUUCCACCAUAAAUGUUUUGAUUUGUUUGAUAAUGUCCAUCUGUUAUGUCCAUAUGUCUUCUUUUGUUAGGGCGUUUGGUAAACAAAUCCAAAAGCGCGUUCGGCGCUGAACCUCGGACGAAAAGUUCCGAAAGUUCCGUCACAGCCCGUAGAAACAUGCCAAACUAAGUAUGGAAUCAAUCUUUAGGAUGUUUUUAACAUAAAACUUCAUUAAUGCUCCAACCGGACAAUUCCUUUGUCUGUACAAAUGAAGUGGAACGUAGCUACCUUUCACGUGAGCGUGCCAGACCGAGGUUGUGGCACUCUGCCAGACCACUCACUCAAAGAGCCCUUAUGAACCCCUCCUUUAGAGUAGAAUCCUCAAAACAGGUUCUAAAUACUGUUGACAUCUAGUGGAAGCCUUGGGAAGUGAAACAUAACUAAUACUUCACUGUAUAUUGAAUGGGGGCUGAGAUGAAAUACUACAAACCUCAGAUUUCCCACUUCCUGGUUGGAUUUUUCUCAGGUUAUGAGUUCUGUUAUACUCACAGACAUCAUUCAAACAGUUUUAGAAACUUCAGAGUGUUUUCUAUCCAAUACUAAUAAUAAUAUGCAUAUAUUAGCAUCUGGGACAGAGUAGGAGGCAGUUCACUCUGGGCACGCUAUUCAUCCAAAAGUGAAAAUGCUGCCCCCUAUCCCAAAAAGGUCAAGUGUUGCAGUGAUUUCACUUGCUGUGGCAGCUAAUGUGUAUAGUGUUGAGUCAUCAGCAUACAUGGACACACAGGCUUUACUCAGAGCCAGUGGCAUGUCAUUAGUAAAAGAUUGAAAAAAGUUAGGGGCCUAGCCAGCUGCCCUGUGGAAUGCCUGACUCUACUUGGAUUGUGUUGGAGAGGUUUCCAUUAAUUAAAGAACACCCUCUGUGUUCUGUUAGACAGGUAACUCUUUAUCCACAGUAUAGCAGGGGAUGUAAAGCCAUAACACAUUAAUUUGUCCAGCAGCAAAUUAUUCUCAAUAAUGUCAAAAGCUGCGCUGAAGUCUAACAAAAAAGCUCCCACAAUCAUUUUAUCAUGAAUUUCUCCAUGGAAUGCCCUUCCCUAUAAGCAUGCUGUAAAUCUUUUGUUCAUAUGUUUAUUAUGAAAUAACUUUGUAUCUGGUCAAACACCAUUUUUUCAAAAAGUUUAAUAAGAGUUGGUAACAGGCUGAUUGUUCGACUGUUUGAGCCAGUAAAGAGUGCUUUGCUAUUCUUGGGUAGCGUAGUGACCUUUGCUUCCCUCCAGGUCUGAGGGCAAACACUUUCCUGUAGCCUGUAGCCUGGCAAAUAGGAGUGGCAAUAUUGUCCACUAUCAUCCUCAGUAAUUUUCCAUCCAAGUUGUCAGACCCUGGUGGCUUGUCAUUUUUUCCCCUCUUCCAUACUCACUUUAUGGAAUUCAACAUUAAAAUGCUUGUCUUUAAUAAUUUGGUCAGUUAUGCUGUAUGAUGAGUGUGUCCAGAUGAGUGUGUUCAGAGUUUGCCCAUCUUCCCAAUAAAAAGUCAUUAAAGUAGAAGGGCAAUAUCAGUGGGUUUUGAGAUGAACGAGCCAUCUAAUACAAUGAAUAAUGAAGCGGAGCUUGUAUUUUUUCACAAAAUGUUAUGUCAGGUGCUCCAAAGCUUUUUACGAU